Molecule: RNA transcript, 4101 nt
Organism: Pantherophis guttatus
Lineage: Eukaryota; Metazoa; Chordata; Lepidosauria; Squamata; Colubridae
Gene: AKAP7
Gene name: A-kinase anchoring protein 7
Source: RefSeq, a predicted model, not a curated record
GCUCCGCCGAUUGAACGGCAGUGACCGGUGGAGUUUUCCUUUGACUCCUCCGUUUUUCCGUAGGUGCUCGGGAGAAGGCGAGAGAGAGAGCCUGGGCUAUGAUAUCGAAACUGCCGCGACUUCUUUUCCGGACUGUCCGCUCCGUUCGCUUCGCCGCGGGGGCAGCUGGGUCCUCUAUUCCCCAGAUCCCCUGGGCGCCCCCAGAGGUGGGACGGGGAUCUCUGUUCUCCGGCGCCGUUAUGGCUGCACAGGGAUCCUCCCCUCUCCGGGCGGAUUCCCAAAGGCUGGAAGCGAAGGAGGAGGAGGAGGAAGCUGGGCGAGGAGGAAUAGGAGGAAAAGUUCAGCCUCCAACUGAGAGCAAGCAGUUGUCACAACAGAUCGAUGGAAAACAAACUGUGGAGUGCAAGAAAAAAGAACGGAAAAAGCAAAAGAAGAAACCAUACAGCUCUAACAAUGCAAUUGAUAACUUGAUGGCGGAAAUGCCAUUUGCUGGAGCAGAUAUUGAACUUGAACUUAGCACCUCAAGCAAAUCUAAACCAUCUGUUAAAAAGAAGAGAAAGAGAAUAGCUGGAAAAGGGAGUGAAGAAGACAGUACAAUAAUGAAGAAAAAGAAAAACCAAGACAGACCCAAUUAUUUCAUUUCUGUUCCAAUCACAAAUCCAAAGAUUAUAGAUGGCAUUCAGACUCUUCAGAACACAAUUAUACAAAAAGAUAAUAGGCUCUCCAAAGCAAUGAUUCAUUAUGGCUCUUUCCAUGUCACCCUCUUAGUGAUGCAUCUGUCCAAUGAAGAAGCAAUUAGCAAUGGUGUUGGUGCUUUCUUGGAGAGUGGAGGUUUAAUUGAAGAAUUACUGCAAGGAAAGCCUUUGAAUUUAUCUUUUCAAGGUACUGAUCACUUCAGAAAUCAAAUUGGAUUUGUAAAGUUGACUGAGGGUGAUAACACAACCACGCUUUUAAAGAUAGCAGAAAUUGUGAAGAAGAUGUUUCAAGAAAAAGGUAUCGUCAUAGAUGACAAAGUUUUAAAGCCUCACUUGACCUUCAUGAAGUUGUCAAAAUCCCCAAAACUACAAAAGCAGGGAGUGAAGAGAAUUGAUUCAAGCAUGUUUGCAAAUUUCAAAAGUCAUCAUUUUGGAGAUGAACUUAUGAACCGUCUAGAUCUUUGCUCAAUGUUGAAAAAAAAGCAGCCCAAUGGCUACUAUCAUUGUGAAUCCUCAAUUGUAGUGGGUGCCCUCGGGAUGCAUGCAACUACCACUUCUCCAAUUGCGAGCCAGCCUGGAGUUCUGAUCCAACCUAUCUGAAAGUUCCCCAAGUUCAGAAAGACUGUCCAUGAACAAGUGCCCCCCAGAUAUGUGCACCUCCCUUGAUGACACUUGGAAUUGGAAUGAAUCAUACGUGAAAUGCAAAAUGAGUUUGGAAUCACCUGGUGCAACUGGGCAAUAAAAGAAAGAAAAGUGUAGACAGAUUUUAUUCCAUUAACAGAGGGGUGCUCUGCAGAAAUCAGCAGGUAAGUCAUUUUGUCACUGACUAAAGAGGACUCCUGGGAAUUUUUAUUAAAGGGUUAGCAAUAGGAGGGCAGGCUUAAUGUUUUUACCAUACUAUGUAGCAUUAAUGAAAAUGUUUAGAACUGUCUAAAUAAGACAUCACUGGAAUACAAAGUAGGCUGUGAUAUGGUUGGUAAAGGAAGAAAUAGUAUAUGGGGGCUGUGUAUGUUUUGAAAAUGAAUGAAAAGCACUUCAGAGCUCAUGGAUCUCUUCCAAAGCAUGCUUAGCUUUGAUACACACGCACACACACACACACACACACACACACACACUCUUAUACUAGACACAGUUUGAAAAUGUUGCCACCAACAUUCUUAACAACUGUUACUAACCUAACCUAUAGUGAUUCACUUAACAACUGUGGCAAGAAAGGUUGUAAGAAAUGGGGCAAGCUCACAAUAAUUCUCACUUAGCAACAGAAAUUUGGGGUUCAUUUGUGGCCAUAAGUUGAAGACUACCUGUAUUAUAUUAUAACAGAGCUCCCCAACUCCCCAGUUGGGCCAUUUGGAACUGAGCUACAAAAGUGGGGAGUGCGCACAUGCGCUCAUCCCUACUUGCACGAGCAGUAAGCAAGCAGGUACAUUUCCCCAUCACUUGUGUGGAACCAUCCCUCUCUCCCUUCCCCACUGGGCCCCACUGGGAGGGAGAGGUGGUUAGGGGCUCAUUGAAAUAACCUCCUAUGUUCCUCUCAUUUCAGAACACCAUCUUCGGUUGAAGGGGUAGGGAGCAGCCUGUCAGCCCUGGAGGCCAUCUUUUUCUUUGGAUCUUCAAGGCUGUCACACUUAGUGCUGUGGGAAUGUGGGAGGGGGGUAAUAUGGAAUGGGUAGAGAUAUAUAGCCAUAACAACAUUCUUUUGUCUGGGAAUCAAGGACGUUCAGCCUGCACCUGGAGAGGUGUGACUGGGGGACAUCUCCAAUUGGGAUGGUGGAUUGAUUGGACCAUGUGAUGGACAUGUGGGUGCAGGGGAAGGAAGUUUGACUUUCCUUUGGAUGGGGAAAACCCAGGAGCUUUCAGAUUCGGGUUUUCCCAGAUGUGCCGAUAUGACAUCUCUAAUAAAAUGGAACUUUGAGGAACUGCUGGCCUCGGAGUCUUAUUGGUUGGGGGUGUUACUUGGAACCCUGAAGGCACGAAGGUUGGGGAACUCUGUAUUAUAACCAACAAUCUUAAUUUUGAAGACAGUAUUCCCUGGGGUCUUUUUGUCCCUCUAUUAUUAUAUAUAAACUCUCCAGUUUAAAAGCUCACUGGAGAUUAACUCCUCUCUGUUUACCCAGACUCUGAAUUACUUUUGUUGUGUUUCUCAUAAAAUGAUUGGGUGCUGUGUUCUUUAAUUAGCUUAUAUACUAGUUUAAUCAUAUGCCAACUUUAUUGUGAAGACAUCUGCCUUGAAAAAAAGAAUCUAAAUAUUUGGAUAAAAUAUAGAAGUAAAAUGUUGCAGACAAAUUAAUAGGUAUUUUUAAGGAGAGUGUAAAACAAAAAAUAAACAUAUAGACUGAUUUUAGAGAUUUGGCUCCCAUCUUUGUUACCCUUUAGGUAUUUAGGUAAGUCUUUGUUGUCUUCUGGUUUUAUCAGCUUGUCUUUGUUGAAAUGGACACCUGUUGAGACUGUAAACAACAAUUUGAAUCUGUGUUUUGGAUUUAUGGCUCUGAAAUGGCUUGUAUUUAGAAUCUUGCAUAAUUUUUUUGUUUAGAGUCUUAAUAUUCUUACCCAGGAUACCCAGGUAUAUUCCAUCCAGAUUUUAUAUAUAUAUAUAUUAAAAUUUAUAUAAAGCAGAUUGUUCUGAAAAUUUCCUAAUUUAGUUUUUUUUUUCCUUUUAUCAGUUUGAUAUACAGAGAAAAUAGAGCAAGUCCUGUACUGAUGAGAAUCUCUUGAAUAGAUCUCUCCAGAUCUUUUUCCAUCAUUUUCCUUCAAACUGUAUGGGGCAAACCCUCUUCUUCCCUAGCAGAAAUAGACCCAUAGCCAUGUCAGAAUUUAUAGAAUUGCACUAUUAGAAAGUAAAAGUGUCCAUGACACCUUCUAGCCAGACCACACGCUGUAAUCUUCGCCAUACUUGACUUCAGGAAACCCCAGGUCACAAAACAAAGAACCGCCUGAGCUUUCAGCCAAGUUUGACCCUUUGGAUGAAAUUGAUAGGAAGUUGGCAGACAUUAGUAACUUAAUCAUUAUAAAUGAACGAUCAUUAUAACCCCCCUCUUUUACAUACAUAAAGUGGUUGAGAUUGGCCAAAGGUUGCAGCCCAUUCAGGUAUCAUGACUAUUAAUAAAAAGAUCCGUUGAGUGACUGCCACCCCUCAGCCCAGCCUCAAUGUUAAUUAAGCAGGAAGCCAGUUGAUAUGGUAAAUGAGUGGGAAAAUGUCACAAGCUAACCACCAAAUGCCCCCUGUUGGCCACCCAGUUAAUUGCCGUUUCCAAUAAUCCUACAGGGUGGGCUCUGUUUCCAAACAGAGAGCCUGAACAGAACAGAGGAAAUGUAUAAAGGUAAUCACUUGACAACUAUAACUUUGUUGCAAAUUUUGAUUGCUGUACUUCACAUUAUGCUUGGAAAUAAACUUUGCCUCUGCUCCAAG